GAUGAACGCUGGCGGCGUGCCUAAUACAUGCAAGUCGAGCGAACAGAUAAGGAGCUUGCUCCUUUGACGUUAGCGGCGGACGGGUGAGUAACACGUGGGUAACCUACCUAUAAGACUGGAAUAACUCCGGGAAACCGGGGCUAAUGCAGGAUAACAUGUUGAACCGCAUGGUUCUACCGUGAAAGGCGGCUUUGCUGUCACUUAUAGAUGGACACGCGCCGUAUUCGCUAGUUGGUGAGGUAACGGCUCACCAAGGCCACGAUACGUAGCCGACCUGAGAGGGAGGUCGCCCACACUGGAACUGAGACACGGCCCAGACUCCUACGCGAGGCAGCAGUAGGGAAUCUUCCGCAAUGGGGCAAAGCCUGACGGUGCAACGCCGCGGGAGUGAUGAUGGUCUUCUGAUCGUAAAACUCUGUUAUUCGUGAAGUACAAAUGCGUAAGUAACUGUGCGCGUUUUGACGGUACCUAAUCAGAAAGCCACGGCUAACUACGUG
This 497-nucleotide ribosomal RNA is filed under the name uncultured bacterium. Its description in RNAcentral is "partial 16S ribosomal RNA". It matches the Rfam family "Bacterial small subunit ribosomal RNA", at positions 28 to 507 of the family's 1533-position model. The record is from RNAcentral.